AGCAAAAUGAUGAUGCAAUUUGCUAUGAAUUUUAUGUGGAGAAACAUAAUAGUCUUUGAAGUUCUUAUGCUUUGCU
Small nucleolar RNA from Magnolia sinica, 76 nucleotides. RefSeq annotates it as small nucleolar RNA R160. The record is from RefSeq and is a predicted model, not a curated record. The transcript has a single exon. Lineage: Eukaryota; Viridiplantae; Streptophyta; Magnoliopsida; Magnoliales; Magnoliaceae.